Molecule: transfer RNA, 76 nt
Filed under: Gammaproteobacteria bacterium
Lineage: Bacteria; Pseudomonadati; Pseudomonadota; Gammaproteobacteria
Also listed under: 3 other names
Description: tRNA-Thr
Rfam family: tRNA
About the family: Transfer RNA (tRNA) molecules are approximately 80 nucleotides in length. Their secondary structure includes four short double-helical elements and three loops (D, anti-codon, and T loops).
Source: RNAcentral
GCCGGUGUAGCUCAGUUGGUAGAGCAGCUGAUUCGUAAUCAGCAGGUCGGUGGUUCGAGUCCACUCGCCGGCACCA